GGGGUCAUUGUUGAAAAAUGUGGAAUUUCUAAGUUCCCUGGGCAGUGUGGCCUUGGUUCUAAUCAUUCUCUUUGGGCUUAUUUACUACAAGUAUCAGAUAAAGAGUUCACCUCCCAGAAUGAUUCACCAAAUCAGCGAUGAAGAGUAUGAAGAAACAAGGGUGGACGUUAACUCUUCUGAGAAUUACUGGGUAUUUCAAUCCAACUCGUUAUAUUCUAACCUUUCAUCGCUGGGAAUAGGUCAGGGCCUCGCUCAGCCUGGAAGAUCCACCGACAGAAGCCCUGAUUGUCCUCCACUCAGGCCCAGUUGAUGGAGGCAGAAAUAAACUGGGAAAAACUGGGGACACAUGAAGAGCUUUUCGAAAGAGGUCCAAAGAUCAGUUCAGCAUAUCGUAUGCAUGUUUAUCACAAACCAAUGGUUUUGUUAACACCCCAUCCAAGCGAUGACCCAGAACGUUACAUGCGCACAUGAGUUGCUUAUUUUUCUACAUGCAUUUGGCUGAAACCAUGGUCAGAUUUUAAUGUUGGUGCUAAAAUGUUAAGUUCUUGUCCUAUGAGGAUCAAAAAUACUUAAUAUAUAAAUUAUACCGUUUUUAUGGUUUACAAUAAGCUUUAUUAGAUCUCUGAUUGACUAUGAUCAGGGUUGUUAGUGGUGCUUGGGUACAGAAUCUCUUCUGUGCCCCCUGCCCAUAACUAAAACAAGUGCACAGAACCGGCUUUAACCCCCAUUCACUCUAACACCAUACAUUUACACACACACAC
Spea bombifrons (plains spadefoot toad) is the source of this 761-nucleotide long non-coding RNA. RefSeq lists it as uncharacterized. The transcript is spliced from 3 exons. The record is from RefSeq and is a predicted model, not a curated record. Lineage: Eukaryota; Metazoa; Chordata; Amphibia; Anura; Pelobatidae.